AUGAACUCAAGAAAACUGAAGAUAACUUAUUCUGAACCAAGUCACAUGAAUUCUUCCAUGAUAGAACUAAAGAGACAAGAAUUUCACAACCAGACUGAGAGUUUGAACAGGAGGUGCUUGCCGAAGGCUGAGGUUCCCAAUAGUCUAAGUUCAGUUACUUUAACUCUUGUACUGAAUAUAGGGAAAAACCAAUAGUUUUGUGACCUUCUUAGUUAGUGACUAUAACCAGGAACCAACACCUCUGUUUGUGGAUUUUUGUUGCUGCAACAAUUGCCAGAAAGCUUGUGGCAACUAAGUGUCUAUCUAUUGAUAAUUAA
Molecule: long non-coding RNA, 317 nt
Filed under: Mus pahari (shrew mouse)
Lineage: Eukaryota; Metazoa; Chordata; Mammalia; Rodentia; Muridae
Description: RIKEN cDNA 4930548G14 gene (MGP_PahariEiJ_G0004806.1)
Source: RNAcentral